CGGGAAGAUCCUGAUCAUCCCCGCGGCUCAGCACCCAGCGAGUCUCGGCGAAGAGGUACAGCAGCUCCUCUCCCUCCGGCGGCUGCAGCAGCAGAGCCAGGCACACUGCAAUCCCAUUAGUGAGCGGCGGCCACUAAUUCUUUGGACUGCCGCUAAUAUCAGGAGAUAUGAAACUGGUUAGUCCCCACAUGUUGCACAUAAAAAGAAUUCAUAAUGAGCAUCUGUGGGAUGUGGAAUGGAUCCCAUGAGUUAGCCGAAGACCUCAUAACGUAAGAGCUGAGAAGCCUAAGUGAAUUAUGACUGUCUCUCUCCUCACAAGUAGGAUUAAUUUUCUAUCCCACUUAUAUUCAUUAUCUAUCCUGUUUAUACCAUAGGGACAUCAAUUGUUUGAGUGUUAAAUAUAAAGACUUUACAGAAAAAGUAUAGGUUAGAUAGCUGAGGGAGGAAAGGAUGUUAUUCAAACUCCAGGUUUAAAGAACAGUUUUAAAUAAAGAUGUUCACAUUAUUUUUAAA
This is a long non-coding RNA of Chrysemys picta bellii (western painted turtle), 513 nucleotides long. RefSeq lists it as uncharacterized. NCBI's taxonomy places the organism in Eukaryota, Metazoa, Chordata, Testudines, Emydidae. The record is from RefSeq and is a predicted model, not a curated record.